AUGAACAGCUACUAUUACUACUUGGAGGACUCGCGGCAGUGGUUCUGGUGGAGCGGCGGCUGGCGCACAACUAACGAUGGCAGACGUUAUCCUGCAGUUAAUAUAGUAAUAUUAACUGAGGUCUCCUUCGAAUAUGUAUUCGGCAGAAAACCAUUAACCGAACCCCCUCAGGAUAGCUCUCCCGGAAUUGUGAUCUCGAUCAAAGAUAUGGAUGAUUGGCAAUUGCGCUGGGACAAUUCUGCUCGAUACAACAAGCUGUUGGUGUAUUCGUUCUACGACAAGAAUUCCACACUGUCCAAGGCCAUGGACAAGCUGUUGGAGAAACUCGCCAAGCAGUAUAAAGGCAAGGCAGACUUCUGCAAGUUGGACGUCGACAACUUCGAGGUACAGACACAACCAGAUGAUUUCCAUGCAUGUAUCAUUAUUUGGAAGCGGACGCGCGUGCUUAUUGCAAUCAAUUAUCAACCGUACGUGCAGUUUUUGGCGGGGCUUUGCGGAGUGGAGGGAGCGUAUCCGACGUUCGUGCUAUUCAAGAAGUGCAAGCAGGUGGGCAAGGUCGUCGGCCUCAAGGACGACGAACUCGAGCGGAGCAUCGAGCGAGCGCUAAACUAG
This 612-nucleotide ribosomal RNA is filed under the name Triticum aestivum (bread wheat). RNAcentral's name for it is "partial small subunit ribosomal RNA". The record is from RNAcentral. Lineage: Eukaryota; Viridiplantae; Streptophyta; Magnoliopsida; Poales; Poaceae.